This 584-nucleotide unclassified non-coding RNA is filed under the name Hevea brasiliensis (rubber tree). The record is from RNAcentral. Lineage: Eukaryota; Viridiplantae; Streptophyta; Magnoliopsida; Malpighiales; Euphorbiaceae.
AAGAAAUAGUGACAAUUACAUUCUUCUUCACAUCCACACUAGGAACAUCGCCAAGAAGAGCAGUAAAUGGCUGCCAUAGGCCACGGGAAUUUUCUGCUCCAGUUUGAAUUGCACGUAACUUUGAGGCUGCAACCAUCUUCAUAGCCUUUGUAAUUUUCUGAAUAUUCUUGACACUCUUCAUUCGAUUUCUGACAACUUGAGUUGAGAUAGAACGUAAUCCAAGAGGGGUCUGCUCCUCAGCAAUAAGAGAGGAUCGGAUGGCGGUCAUCGGUUGGGAACUGAUGAGGGGGGCAGCGAAUCGCCUCCCUUCGCGUCUCAAAGCAGCCAUCGCCAUUGUUGAAAGAAUCUAUCAAUGAAACCCUAGCGGCCUGCGUGCUGUAGAUCCAAGCUGUUCGUUAUAGCUUCGAGCUCUAGUGUUUUUUCCACUUUAAUUCUCUUUUUUGUUAACAAUGGAAAAAUGGGAAAUACCUAUUUGCCAUUUAUAAGCGAAACGCUCUCGUCUUAAUAUUUUGUUAUGAGCAGAAGCAGAGAAGUGCAGAUGCUGCGCUGCAGUGACAAGUUUGUUAAGGGGAGGCUUAAAGGAC